GCAGCGCGGGGCAACCUGGCGGCGAGUGGCGAACGGGUGAGUAAUAUAUCGGAACGUGCCCUGGAGUGGGGGAUAACGCAGCGAAAGUUGCGCUAAUACCGCAUACGAUCUAAGGAUGAAAGCGGGGGAUUCGCAAGAACCUCGUGCUCCUGGAGCGGCCGAUAUCUGAUUAGCUAGUUGGUGGGGUAAAGGCCUACCAAGGCAUCGAUCAGUAGCUGGUCUGAGAGGACGACCAGCCACACUGGAACUGAGACACGGUCCAGACUCCUACGGGAGGCAGCAGUGGGGAAUUUUGGACAAUGGGCGAAAGCCUGAUCCAGCAAUGCCGCGUGAGUGAAGAAGGCCUUCGGGUUGUAAAGCUCUUUUGUCAGGGAAGAAACGGUGAAGGCUAAUAUCCUUUGCUAAUGACGGUACCUGAAGAAUAAGCACCGGCUAACUACGUGCCAGCAGCCGCGGUAAUACGUAGGGUGCAAGCGUUAAUCGGAAUUACUGGGCGUAAAGCGUGCGCAGGCGGUUUUGUAAGUCUGUCGUGAAAUCCCCGGGCUCAACCUGGGAAUUGCGAUGGAGACUGCAAGGCUAGAAUCUGGCAGAGGGGGGUAGAAUUCCACGUGUAGCAGUGAAAUGCGUAGAGAUGUGGAGGAACACCGAUGGCGAAGGCAGCCCCCUGGGUCAAGAUUGACGCUCAUGCACGAAAGCGUGGGGAGCAAACAGGAUUAGAUACCCUGGUAGUCCACGCCCUAAACGAUGUCUACUAGUUGUCGGGUUUUAAUUAACUUGGUAACGCAGCUAACGCGUGAAGUAGACCGCCUGGGGAGUACGGUCGCAAGAUUAAAACUCAAAGGAAUUGACGGGGANCCGCACAAGCGGNGGAUGAUGUGGAUUAAUUCGAUGCAACGCGAAAAACCUUACCUACCCUUGAC
This 920-nucleotide ribosomal RNA is filed under the name uncultured bacterium. Its description in RNAcentral is "bacterial SSU rRNA". It matches the Rfam family "Bacterial small subunit ribosomal RNA", at positions 69 to 985 of the family's 1533-position model. The record is from RNAcentral.